CCUACGGGGGGCUGCAGUGGGGAAUAUUGCACAAUGGGCGCAAGCCUGAUGCAGCAACGCCGCGUGAGGGACGACGGCCUUCGGGUUGUAAACCUCUUUUAGUAGGGAAGAAGCGAAAGUGACGGUACCUGCAGAAAAAGCACCGGCUAACUACGUGCCAGCAGCCGCGGUAAUACGUAGGGUGCAAGCGUUAUCCGGAAUUAUUGGGCGUAAAGAGCUCGUAGGCGGUUUGUCGCGUCUGCUGUGAAAACUGGAGGCUCAACCUCCAGCCUGCA
Molecule: ribosomal RNA, 275 nt
Filed under: uncultured bacterium
Lineage: Bacteria
Description: partial 16S ribosomal RNA
Rfam family: Bacterial small subunit ribosomal RNA
Source: RNAcentral